Corvus moneduloides (New Caledonian crow) is the source of this 2454-nucleotide long non-coding RNA. The record is from Ensembl. NCBI's taxonomy places the organism in Eukaryota, Metazoa, Chordata, Aves, Passeriformes, Corvidae.
AAUUCCCCAAGACACUUCAGUGCUCCAGAAGAAAUCUGGGGAGCAUCAAACCAACAGGGAUGCAGGACUACCAAGAAGCUCCUGAACCUCGCAGAGAUUACUCCUCGGUUUUCAAGGCUGCCCCCACGACACGUUUCAAACACAGCUUUGCUCCGAGAUGACAACUCGGAGAAGUCCCAUUCUAGCCCUUCCGUGACCCUCCGCUGGGCAGCGAGCGGCCAGCACCGCCGGGAAGCCGAGCAUUCCCAGCGUUUCAGAGGACUGGAGAGGCCAGCUGAGGAUGCCAUCGCCAAGCCCAGGCCGGCUCCCGGCGCGGCUCGGGGGUCCCGGCCCCAGCCCUGCGCGGGCCCCGACGGGCGCUGCGCGGCCCUGCCCACGGCGCCACCCAGCGGCCAAGCCGGGAACCGCCGGUCCCACGCGCGACCGCGGCGGGACCCGCGCCUGAACCGACGGCGGCCCCACAGGGCAGGCACUGCGGCACCACGGCCCCCGCGCCCCAGGGGCGGCAGUCACGUCCGCUCCAUACCACCCCACAGGUGGCAUUUCCACGGUGCGAGAUGUGAGAUGUGGCAGGAUUUCCAGAAGUAUAUCUGGCCUUGAAAUAUUUUGAAAAUCCAUGAACUUCUGUGCUCCAAGACCUAUGUUGGAAGUAGUUUUGAAAAUCCUGCUGGAGAGUACAUGCAGCCCUUCUUCAGCAGCACUUGAUUGCUCCAUCUCAGGUGAUCUGAUUUUCUCCAAUCUGUUUCUAGACAUUCAUAAUAUUUCUGCAUUGCCAAGAAAGCACAGAAACAGCCUGACCCGGACAUUUGUGUGGGUGAGGCUUUGUUUCAGGCACUCUUGCCAAGAGCAGGGAUGUGAAUGUUGCUCCUCACAUGAGUAGAAAGCUCCAAGUCAUUGUGCUUUUUCUGGUGAAACUAGUAACAGUAACAUGCUUCAAGCACAUAUGGAUGUCUUGGUUCACCUCCAACUGGCAUUUUUGCUUUGUUAGGUGAUAGGUUUGAGCCUUAAGUUCUUAUUCAUAAAAAAACUCCCAAUUUUUGUGGAAGUGAAAAUGGAUAUCUAGACCAAGAUUUGGCCCGCAGUUCAACUGUCUAACUGUAGUUUUUCUGUGAUGCAACUUUAAGAAGCAAAUGAAGCCGGCUGUAAUAGAGUUGGGAGGAACUAGGCAAGAAUCAGAAAAACAUACAUGAAUAAAUUACCCCCUUUCUCCUGUUCUUUCAAAGAUUACAAAUACUUAUAGUGUUACAAAUGUCACAUCAUCAAAAGACUCAAACUGGGCAGGUGUUUAUGGUUACUUUCACACUGGAAAUGUAACAGGCAUCCAGAUGGAAAUGAUGCUGUGAGGCCUUGGAAACCAGACACUGAUCCUCGUAGACAACCAGGAUGCAAUCAAAAUAGGAAGACCAUAAAAAACUGAUGUGCUGGUUGAAAAUUAUUUAUCCAAGCAACUUGAUGAAUACCUAUAAAUAAGAAAUACAAUAGCAAUUGGAGUUGGCUCAAAAAUUAUCCACAAUUAAUAAACUGACCCAUCCUAUGUACUGUGUUAUUUUCCCUGACAUUUUCACAAGCUACAAAUCUGAUAACACAAUUAAAUGACAAGUUCAAUCACUUCUUUAUUUCAUGUGUAUGUAUAAUAUAAUAUUUUAUAGCUGAUUACAGAAAAGACUGUUUACUCACAUUGUAUCUUCCCUAGCAUAAUUCAGAGCUUUGCUUGCCUAAGAAAUUACUUGUCUGUAUUUUGAUUAAAAAAAGCAAAACCUCAUUGUUCUCGUGGCAAAUGAAUUCAGUCUUUAAAUGAAACUCAUUGUCACAUCCUUUUCUAUGAAGCAAAGGCAUUCAGCUCCUGGAACAGCUUUAACCUCCAACACAGCACUUUUGUGUCUGUAUCUGAUCCACCCGUAAUUCAUCCCUUUUCCAAAGCUUCGUCAGUGUUUGUGCUCUGUACUUAGUUCUCAAUGAACUGGCUAUAACACAGUAGUUACAGCUCCCUGGAAAAUGACACACUAACUCUGUCAAGUUUUUUAUUAGCUUGGAUAGGUCUUUUAUUUUAGCAAGGUCUUUUAUUACCUUGGAUAGCUUGAACUAGUUCUGAAGUGGAUGAGUGAAGACCUGGAGAUCCAAUUUUAUAUUGAGAGCCAUUAAUUUUUUUAACCACAACCCCUUGAUUAUUGAUACGCUUUUGUUCUUUACAGUCAUUGCACAACACAUUGUUUGAAGUGAAUCAGAGCACACAAACUUUCACAGUUACUUACUGGAGUUUGGAUCGGUCAUGGCAACCAGCUGGCAGAAGUCCUCUGAUUUUCAGGAUGCAAGAGGCAUCUGCUCUUAACCAGAAGCUACUCUGAUCCUUUCUGUUCCAUAAUACUUCCCAAAAACAAUCCUAAAAAUACUAUAGAGAAAGGAAGAGCCUGUAAAUCUUGACUUGUGGUUAUUUUUUUGCCUAUUAAUCCUCAG